CGUGUAGGCGGACUCGCAAGUCGGUUGUGAAAUCCCUGGGCUUAACCUAGGAACUGCAUCCGAAACUGCUUGUCCUGAGUAAUGGAGAGGGUGGCGGAAUUCCCGGUGUAGAGGUGAAAUUCGUAGAUAUCGGGAGGAACAUCAGUGGCGAAGGCGGCCACCUGGACAUUUACUGACGCUGAGACGCGAAAGCGUGGGGAGCAAACAGGAUUAGAUACCCUGGUAGUCC
RNAcentral lists this ribosomal RNA (229 nucleotides) under uncultured bacterium. Its description in RNAcentral is "partial 16S ribosomal RNA". It matches the Rfam family "Bacterial small subunit ribosomal RNA", at positions 568 to 796 of the family's 1533-position model. The record is from RNAcentral.